GGGGAAUUUUCCGCAAUGGGCGAAAGCCUGACGGAGCAACGCCGCGUGAGGGACGAAGGCCUCUGGGCUGUAAACCUCUUUUCUCAAGGAAGAAGAUAUGACGGUACUUGAGGAGUAAGCCACGGCUAAUUCCGUGCCAGCAGCCGCGGUAAUACGGGAGUGGCAAGCGUUAUCCGGAAUUAUUGGGCGUAAAGCGUCCGCAGGCGGCUUUUCAAGUCUGCUGUUAAAGCGUGGAGCUUAACUCCAUCAUGGCAGUGGAAACUGAAAGGCUUGAGUAUGGUAGGGGCAGAGGGAAUUCCCGGUGUAGCGGUGAAAUGCGUAGAUAUCGGGGAAGAACACCAGUGGCGAAGGCGCUCUGCUGGGCCAUUACUGACGCUCAUGGACGAAAGCCAGGGGAAGCGAAAGGGGAUUAGAUACCCCUGUAAGUC
Molecule: ribosomal RNA, 428 nt
Filed under: uncultured cyanobacterium
Lineage: Bacteria; Bacillati; Cyanobacteriota
Description: bacterial SSU rRNA
Rfam family: Bacterial small subunit ribosomal RNA
Source: RNAcentral